Molecule: long non-coding RNA, 2625 nt
Filed under: Lathyrus oleraceus (garden pea)
Lineage: Eukaryota; Viridiplantae; Streptophyta; Magnoliopsida; Fabales; Fabaceae
Description: Pisum sativum (pea) long non-coding RNA (PSAT_LNC028881)
Source: RNAcentral
AAAUGAUAAAAUCAACUGAAUAAAAGACUUACGUUAGAAAUGGAAUGAAAAUUCAUACAUUUUCUCACAAAUUCACUAUCUCUGUGACCUAGAUGUUUCAAUUCUAUAGAUACUAAUAAUGAUAAUUGUGAACCCUUGCAACAUAGAUUGAAUCAAACUCAAAUACAUUAGUAACCAUUGACAACAACUAAUUUCCUAGAAAUGGACACAUACAUUGUUAUGUGGUCAUCUAUCCUCUGGAUUGCUUCCACAUGUCUAUAGUCUUUGAAGUACUGCACAACUGCCAUUAUUGUCGAAAGAAUAUCUCCAGGUCUCCGUCCAAUUCCAUGUCUUCCAACUGUGUCUCUCGAGAAUAAUUUUUGUCGAACCUUGUAAUCUUUGUGGUGAACCAUGCUUCAGUUACUUGUGUUUAUCCUGUGUAUUUAUCUCAUACACUUUUCCCAUCAAAUAUGCCAAAUCUCUACAAAUAUUUUCAAGAUUCUGGACAUAUUUGAAGAGAUAGGGAUCCUAAUCGUGUGGAUCUGUUCUUGAGAUUCUUCCAAACCAUGCUUAGUGGGUUUAAGUUCAUCUUGAGUCUAAAAUCAUAGGUUAUUAAGUAGAUUAUAGUUUUUGAUUCAUGAUUCCUCGUUUAACUUUUUGAAACAAAAUUCAUAUAUUCAAAACUACACUUUCUUUACCAAUUAGAAGUGAAUGAUACAUAGAAAGUAUAUUAUAAUCAAUUUUACUUAAAACUAUGUUAAUAGUGGUGGUAAACAGAUAUGUCUUAUUUGUUUAGGUCAACUCUAUAAAAGACAAUAGAAAAAUGGAGCAGGACAAGCAUAGUAAACGAAGCAAACCUAAAAACCUAACUCGUCCAACAAAAAAUUGAGGGAAUUAGGCGAUUCUAACGAGUCCUGCAUCCAUAAAGCUUACAAAUUACAAAAAAUUCAUGUUUAAUCCGUUAAUGCCCGCGCUCGUAAAAAAAGAGAUGAGACAAAACAAAAUUAGUAGAGAGUCCAUAUAUAAAAUAUUAGUUUGACCUGUAAAAAAUACAUAUAAAAUGGGUAAUACUUAUUGAACCUGACUCGUUUCGCCACCCUAUCUACUGGUAUAUCUCAUUUUAAUGGAACCACUUGUUUAAACCUUAGGAUGGUAAAUGGGGUUAAGAGUGAGAAAUCUCAAGCUGGUUAAUUUAUCCCUUCUAACAAAGUGAAGUUGGACGUUGCUUGUUGAAGACUCUAAUCUCUGGAGGGAUAUUCUAAUAAAUAGAUAUGAUGAGACUUCUAUUUCCUCUCAUUGAGGAGCUAGGUGUAAAGGUUUAUGAUCUUCUUCAUCCUGGUGAAAAAAGAUAUGUCUUCUUAGAUCUAAAGAGGAGUGUAACUCUGAUUGGUUUUCUGAUGGCAUUGUUAGCAAAGUGGGGUUGAGUUUUCAUACUUCCUUUUGGAAAGACUCGUAGUUAGGAAGCAUUCCCUUAAUGUUCAAGUUUCCUACUUUGUUAUCCAUUUCUCUCUGGUCGAAAGACAUGAUGGUGAGUUAGGAGUGAUUGUUAAUAGGAUCUUAGAUGGAGAAGAUCCUUCUUUCUUAGAGAAUUUCAUGUUGUUGAUGACUUUCAUACCUUACUUAGAGACGCUAUCCUUACCAUGCACCGAGAUAAGUGGGUUUGGAAGCAUUCUAGUGAGAGAACUUUUUCAGUGGCCUCCGCUUAUCUAGUUCAAUGGGAAAGUUUGACCUCUUCUUUUGUUAUGCUCAUGUUUCAUAGUUAAAUCCCCCCCUUCAUUUGGAGUAGUUGGGUGCCGCCCAAGAUCUUGGUUUUUUCUUGACAGUUAUUGCAGGAUAAAUUUUCAUUCAGAGUUAACCUUUCUAAAAUAUGGCCUUUUAAUUGAUUUUUCUAGGCUUUCUUGUCCCUUAUGUGAGGUUUUUUUGUUGAGACGGUUUCUCAUCUUUUUGUUACUUCUGAGAUAGUCGUGCCGGUGUGGUAUAGAAUUUUUAGGUGGCUGAGGCGGCAAAUAAUUAUUCACCAAAAUUUUAGUGUGUUGUUUGAGUAUUUCCUUUCUUUAGGAGGUGUGCUUAAGUAUAUCAGUGAUUGUCUUAUGUUGUGGUAUGCAGUAAUCUGGUCAAUUUGGAAAGCUGAUAUGAUGAUAUCUUUAAUGGGAUCAAAAAGACAUUGAUAUAGGUAGAGAAGAAGAAUACUUUUUUGUUUGGAAAUGGUUUUUAAAUAAAUUUGUGACGAUUUCUUACACCUUCAUGAAUUGACUUCAAAAUCCUAUCCUCUAUAUUUAUAGAGGAGCGAGUUUUUAUCUUGAUUUAGAAUGUGGUGGUGGAUUUUUUAAUUUUUUUUAUUGGAAUCUAAUGUGGUUCUAAUUCACUCAAGACCUAACAUGUGAAUAGUGAGAUUUGACUCCAGAUCUAAUGCGCGAAUAGUUGGUUGUGUUUUUCCUUGUGCCGGUGUUUUGUUUGUCUUCAGCUAUUUCUAAAUACUUUUAUACUUUUUUAUUUUAUAUGUAAAAUACUACUACUAUAUUUUAUUAAUAUAUUCUAUUUGCUACUACUUAUUAUAAAAAUUAAACCAUAAUAGAACAUGAGGAGAUGGGUGUUGAAUUUAGGACCCUGCAAAAGUGAUUUGGAAAUCUUGAGGAACGUUAUGAG